Molecule: long non-coding RNA, 678 nt
Organism: Solenopsis invicta (red fire ant)
Lineage: Eukaryota; Metazoa; Arthropoda; Insecta; Hymenoptera; Formicidae
Exons: 2
Source: RefSeq, a predicted model, not a curated record
GAGCAAGCCCAGGUACCGGAUCAAUGGGCGGUUCAAAUCGCGCGCGUGGUGAUCGCAAUAAGAUGGCGCGUGAGACAGGUGGGCUUAAAGGCCGCGACACAGGCUUUAGCUGCAUAACGGUAUGCAUAAGGAAAUGGACCAAUCAAUUUCUUUAUGCACACGGUUAUGCAAUUAUGCAAAAACCUGUGUCGAGACUUUAAGGCACUAUAGAUAUAGGAUCUCUAGACUGAAUCAUUUUCGGGUUUUCGAAGAGUGGGGGGUCCGUUUUUUUCUAUCAGACGAUCCGCCAUUUUUAGUCCUUUUCCUCUCUCCUUGCCCAUUUCGCUGCCUUGUAGCUGCUGGUCGCCUCGUCGUUCAGGAAUGCGUUCGAAAAUAUUCCUUGCAAAAGAUGAGAUAUUUUACCGCAUCCGCCAUAUUCGCCGGACAUCGCUCCAUCUGAUUACUGGUUAUUCCGACGGAUGCAGCACGAUUUGGCAGGAAAUCGGUUCACUUCUUUCGCAGAAAUCGAAAAUUGACUCCUAACUUGGAUCGCUUCAAAAGACGAAACAUUUUUUCGAGAUGGAAUUCGAAAAUUGCCUGAGAGCUGGGACAAAGUAAUAGCCAGUGAUGGACAAUACUUUGAUUAAUCUGUUUAUUCAAUUUGUUCUGAAAUAAAUGCAUUUUUGACCACAAAAAAAA